GAUGAAGAACGCAGCGAAAUGCGAUAAGUAAUGUGAAUUGCAGAAUUCAGUGAAUCAUCGAAUCUUUGAACGCACAUCGCGCCCGGUAGUAUUCUGCCGGGCAUGCCUGUUCGAGCGUCAUUUCAACCAUCAAGCCCCAGCGCUUGUGUUGGGGGCCUGCGGCUGCCGCAGCCCCCCAAAAGCAGUGGCGGGCUCGCUAUCACACCGAGUGCAGUAGUUCAUCUUCUCUCCGGUCUUGUGAGGCGGGUUCCGGCCGUGAAACACCCCACUACAUUCAAGGUUGACCUCGGAUCAGGUAGGAAUACCCGCUGAACUUAAGCAUAUCAAUAAGCGGAGGA
This 338-nucleotide unclassified non-coding RNA is filed under the name soil metagenome. RNAcentral describes it as "partial contains 5.8S ribosomal RNA, internal transcribed spacer 2, and large subunit ribosomal RNA". The stretch from base 1 to 120 matches the Rfam family "5.8S ribosomal RNA", at positions 35 to 154 of the family's 154-position model. The record is from RNAcentral.